UUACGGCCAUACCAGCCUGUACGCCCGAUCUCGUCCGAUCUCAGAAGCCAAGCAAGGUCGGGCCUGGUCAGUACCUGGAUGGGAGACUGCCUGGGAAUCCCAGGUGCUGUAAGCCUUUU
Molecule: ribosomal RNA, 119 nt
Filed under: Omophoita sexnotata
Lineage: Eukaryota; Metazoa; Arthropoda; Insecta; Coleoptera; Chrysomelidae
Source: RNAcentral